GGAAUCUUCCACAAUGGACGAAAGUCUGAUGGAGCAACGCCGCGUGAGUGAAGAAGGUUUUCGGAUCGUAAAACUCUGUUGUUGGAGAAGAACACGUUUGAGAGUAACUGUUCACGCAGUGACGGUAUCUAACCAGAAAGUCACGGUUAACUACGUGCCAGCAGCCGCGGUAAUACGUAUGUCCCGAGCGUUAUCCGGAUUUAUUGGGCGUAAAGCGAGCGCAGGCGGUUUCUUAAGUCUGAUGUGAAAGCCUUCGGCUUAACCGAAGAAGUGCAUCGGAAACUGGGAAACUUGAGUGCAGAAGAGGACAGUGGAACUCCAUGUGUAGCGGUGAAAUGCGUAGAUAUAUGGAAGAACACCAGUGGCGAAGGCGGCUGUCUGGUCUGUAACUGACGCUGAGGCUCGAAAGCAUGGGUAGCCAACA
This 424-nucleotide ribosomal RNA is filed under the name uncultured Lactobacillus sp. RNAcentral describes it as "bacterial SSU rRNA". It matches the Rfam family "Bacterial small subunit ribosomal RNA", at positions 358 to 774 of the family's 1533-position model. The record is from RNAcentral. Lineage: Bacteria; Bacillati; Bacillota; Bacilli; Lactobacillales; Lactobacillaceae.